GUUAGAUACCAGCUCAGCGGUUAGAUACCAGCUCAGCGGUUAGAUACCAGCUCAGUGGUUAGAUACCAGUUCAGAGGUUAGAUACCAGUUCAGCGGUUAGAUACCAGUUCAGAGGUUAGAUACCAGUUCAGCGGUUAGAUACCAGUAGAUACCAGUUCAGAGGUUAGAUACCAGUUCAGCGGUUAGACCACCUUCCUCUGAUCAAGACAUGAACUGUCUCACUGAUGGGUUUUUUACGCUCAACAGUUUCCCGUGUGUAUCAAGGACCCCCAUACAGGUAUUCGGACACGGCCAAUGUCUCCAUGAAGGGAUAAAAUAUGUUUGAUAUGUAUUGGUACAACCUAGUGGUCAUCAACAAUAUUACAGCCUCAGAGAGAU
RNAcentral lists this long non-coding RNA (378 nucleotides) under Salmo salar (Atlantic salmon). RNAcentral describes it as "lncRNA (ENSSSAG00000103022.1)". The record is from RNAcentral. Lineage: Eukaryota; Metazoa; Chordata; Actinopteri; Salmoniformes; Salmonidae.